CAAGUCGAGCGGCAGCGCGGGGGCAACCCUGGCGGCGAGCGGCGGACGGGUGAGGAAUUCGUCGGAAUCUGCCUUUUUGUGGGGGAUAACGUAGGGAAACUUACGCUAAUACCGCAUACGACCUACGGGUGAAAGUGGGGGACCGCAAGGCCUCACGCAGAAAGAUGAGCCGACGACCGAUUAGCUAGUUGGUAGGGUAAAGGCCUACCAAGGCGACGAUCGGUAGCUGGUCUGAGAGGAUGAUCAGCCACACUGGGACUGAGACACGGCCCAGACUCCUACGGGAGGCAGCAGUGGGGAAUAUUGGACAAUGGGCGCAAGCCUGAUCCAGCCAUGCCGCGUGUGUGAAGAAGGCCUUCGGGUUGUAAAGCACUUUUGUCCGGAAAGAAAUCUUCCAACUUAAUACGUUGGGAGGAUGACGGUACCGGAAGAAUAAGCACCGGCUAACUUCGUGCCAGCAGCCGCGGUAAUACGAAGGGUGCAAGCGUUACUCGGAAUUACUGGGCGUAAAGCGUGCGUAGGCGGUUCGUUAAGUCUGACGUGAAAUCCCCGGGCUCAACCUGGGACGUGCGUUGGAAACUGGCGAUCUAGAGUACGGUAGAGGGUGGUGGAAUUCCCGGUGUAGCAGUGAAAUGCGUAGAGAUCGGGAGGAACACUCGUGGCGAAGGCGGCCACCUGGACCAGUACUGACGCUGAGGCACGAAAGCGUGGGGGAGCAAACAGGAUUAGAUACCCUGCUAGUCCACGCCCUAAACGAUGCGAACUGGAUGUUGGGCUCACUUCGGAGCUCAGUAUCGAAGCUAACGCGUUAAGUUCGCCGCCUGGGGAGUACGGUCGCAAGACUGAAACUCAAAGGAAUUGACGG
RNAcentral lists this ribosomal RNA (865 nucleotides) under uncultured bacterium. Its description in RNAcentral is "bacterial SSU rRNA". It matches the Rfam family "Bacterial small subunit ribosomal RNA", at positions 58 to 916 of the family's 1533-position model. The record is from RNAcentral.